This 492-nucleotide ribosomal RNA is filed under the name uncultured bacterium. RNAcentral describes it as "partial 16S ribosomal RNA". It matches the Rfam family "Bacterial small subunit ribosomal RNA", at positions 29 to 507 of the family's 1533-position model. The record is from RNAcentral.
AGUGAACGCUGGCGGUAGGCCUAACACAUGCAAGUCGAACGGCAGCACAGUAAGAGCUUGCUCUUACGGGUGGCGAGUGGCGGACGGGUGAGGAAUACACCGAAAUCUACUUUUUCGUGGGGGAUAACGUAGGGAAACUUACGCUAAUACCGCAUACGACCUACGGGUGAAAGCAGGGGAUCUUCGGACCUUGCCCGAUUGAAUGAGCCGAUGUCGGAUUGGCUAGUGGGCGGGGUAAAGGCCCACCAAGGCGACGACCCGUAGCUGGUCUGAGAGGAUGAUCAGCCACACUGGAACUGAGACACGGUCCAGACUCCUACGGGAGGCAGCAGUGGGGAAUAUUGGACAAUGGGCGCAAGCCUGAUCCAGCCAUACCGCGUGGGUGAAGAAGGCCUUCGGGUUGUAAAGCCCUUUUGUUGGGAAAGAAAGGCAGCAGGUUAAUACCCCGCUGUUCUGACGGUACCCAAAGAAUAAGCACCGGCUAACUUCGUG